GUGCCAGCCGCCGCGGUAAUACAGAGGAGCCAAGCGUUGUCCGGAUUGACUGGGCGUAAAGCGCACGCAGGCGGACGCGCGCGUGGGGUGUGAAAUCUGGCCGCUUAACGGCCAGGGGCCAUCCCAUACGGCGGGUCUGGAGCGAUGCAGAGGUCGGUGGAAUUGCCGGUGUAGUGGUGAAAUGCGUAGAGAUCGGCAGGAACACCCAGGGGGAAACCAGCCGACUGGGCAUCUGCUGACGCUGAGGUGCGAGAGCGUGGGGAGCGAACCGGAUUAGAUACCCGGGUAGUCC
Molecule: ribosomal RNA, 292 nt
Filed under: uncultured bacterium
Lineage: Bacteria
Description: partial 16S ribosomal RNA
Rfam family: Bacterial small subunit ribosomal RNA
Source: RNAcentral